Brienomyrus brachyistius is the source of this 1917-nucleotide long non-coding RNA. RefSeq lists it as uncharacterized. The transcript is spliced from 4 exons. NCBI's taxonomy places the organism in Eukaryota, Metazoa, Chordata, Actinopteri, Osteoglossiformes, Mormyridae. The record is from RefSeq and is a predicted model, not a curated record.
CCCGUCUCUACCAGGUAAGCGGUCUCUCGAGAUAACACAGCUCUCUUCCGGGGGUUGACCCGGUAGGGAUGCUGCUUAACGGGAGCGUGAUCACCAACGUCGAUAUCAUGUUCUCCAGCAGGGGUACGCGAAGGGGUAUCAGCGAACAGGGGUCGGAAGCGAUCUACUAGGGACAAAAUGUCAGUUUGGGCUGACCCAGGUAAGUGGCUGAGCCGGGACGUAAGGUUUUGCAGAGCCUCUGAGUUAGGAAGGCGAGCACAGGGGAGACAAUUCCUACCGAGGUGUAAGUCAUCAGUCUCUGGUGAGUACUUACUGAGAGACACGACGCCCACAGGAGCGGGGACCGGAACAGAAGUAGGCGAGGGGACGGGGACCGAGCGAUCAAGAGACUGUCGAGCCAAUUCCCUAGCUGUAGACAUCCGGUCCCGAAGGGAUUUCACAAACUUGGACACAUCCUGCGUAGAGGAGGACGCAUCGGGGGAUAACCACUGCUCCUGUAACGCCUUCAGGGGACCUCGAACAGUGUGGCCAAAGACAAGUCCAGCAGGACUAAACCCGGUCGAUUCUUGGACAGCAUCGCGUAUUGCAAAAAGUAGAAGGGGCACUCCCUCAUCCCACUCUCUCCCUGCAUCUAAACAAAAGCGGAGGUACGACACGCUUCCAAUGACAAAUCCUCCGCCUGUGCCUUGGUCAAAGCGUCCGUAGUGGAAGGGACCUCAGGGGACACAGCAGGUUCCACGGAGACCAGGGAGUCCGAGUCACAAGUCGAAGGUGUUGGGUCGGACAUAAAUGUCUCAGCCAGCUGAACGUCGGCGAACUUGCACUGCUGGGCCCGUGUCAGCACACAAGCCGGGAACACCUGGGGCAGUUCCGCCGCAACGUCAUCGGCGCAGAUCUCCGGCUCUGGGGCAACUUCAGGAAGGGGAACGAUCCUUUUCCCCGCAAUGUCAUUCCCCAGAAUGAACGUGACCCCUGGAACAGGUGGUGAAUAAGAAGCGGACGAAGGAGAGGAUAUCACAGGACGGGAACCGAGUUUGCGAGGCAAAGGGGUUGGGGUAAACACAGUCUUAUGGGUCAGAAUAAAUUCAUCAGCCAGAGUAGCAGCUAAAGCUAAACAUGUUACCUUUUGUUCAUUCAAGUAUACUACUACCCGAUCAUGAACACAAUUUUUAAAUUCCUCUAACAGCAAUAGUUCCUUGAGUUGCUCAAAGUUGGUAACACCACACGCAGCACACCACUUGUCAAACAACAAAGCUUUCUCACGGGCAAACUCAACAUGGGUUUGGCUGGCGGUUUUAACCAGCUUCCGGAAAUUCUGCCGGUAAGCCUCAGGUACUAAUUCAUACGCCCUUAAUACGGUAGCCUUAACAAUGUCAUAAUCAAGACUCUGGGCUAACGCCAGAGCCGAGCAAACUUCCUGAGCUUUCCCCACUAACUUGCAUUGCAGAAGCAAUGACCACAAAUGUCUAGGCCAGUUCAAGGUCGUAGCAAUCUUCUCAAACAUAGCGAAGUAAGCAUCCACCUCAUUCUCCCGAAACACAGGAACAAGAGCGAUAUGGCGACUAACAUCAAAGUCAGAAUUUCUACCUCCAAUUUCCUGGGAGACUGGUGAACCUGAGGGAGAACGAAGGCUAGACCGAGGAGCGUCUGGGGCAUCAGCCUGGUCACGGGCGGGCAGGUCGGCUUGAGGGGUUGUACGUGGUGAUUGUACUCGACGCGGAAGGGGAACAGGUUUUUGUUCACCCAUACCCAUUCUGCGCAGUGCCACCUCCUUGUCAGCUUCAACCUCCACUUCCCGGACACGGAGUAACUGAGCCUGGUACUCCUGCCUUUUAAUCUCCAGUUCCAGCUCCCUAAGUCGAAUUGUCAGCAGCAGAUCCUCCCUGGCUGAGCGUGGAUCGCCGAGAUCCAUGCGGA